CAGAUGUGACUCAACCUGUGGAGACAAAGCACAAGGUCUGCAGCUGUUGAAAAACGUGAAGCAAAACUAUUUAAGUGCUAGAUUCACGCAGGGAUACAGCAUGGAGUUGCCUCUUCUGGUCCUUCAAGCCAUAACACCCCAGCAAACCCCAAUUCAACCCUAGCCUAAUCACGGGACAUUUUACAAUGACCAAUUAACCUACGACUGGUACACCUUUGAACUGUGGAAGGAAGCCGGAGCUCCCGAAAAAAAAAAGAAACCCAUGCGUUCCAGGGGAAGGACAUACAGGUGACAUCAGAAAUGAACUCCGAACUCCAUUGCUAAGAACUGUAAUACCACUGCGCUCACUGCUAUGCCACCGUGGUGCCAUCUGGAGUUGUAGGAUGAACUGAACGGAAUAAACUAAGCAUUUCAAAUAAACACUUGAUUCAAACCUUCACUGAGGAAUGUCAAAACCAGGAUGUAAAAACACAUUGGUGCAUCAUUAAUCAUAUCAGGUAACCAUCAGGUAAAAUGAGAAUACUUCUUGAAUGUAUGGAUUUGCUUCCUUGGCGGCCAGACCAGCACACAAUAUUCCAGAUGAAAUCUCUGUAGGAUCCUUUAAAAUCUCAGUAUAGUUUUUGUAUGAUAUUUACUCAACCCCUUAUCAUGAAACAUUAUUUGCAUUUCAAUAAUUUUUAACAUAAAUCCUUCACAAAUCUGCAUGAGCUAACCAAAAGGAGUCCUGCAACAGAGAAAACUUGGCUGUGGCCAGAGCUUUGCUCACUUUUUCCAAUUUGGAUUACAGCAAAGAACUAAAUACAUUAUUUGUAAUUAAAAUGCACGAGAAGCAUGAUAGGAAAAAAAAUCAUACCAGAGAUCAGUAAUUACAAUGACUAUCAAUACAUUAACAGUAAAAUUCACUAAACAAGCUUGUCCUAUCUUGAGUGCCACUGCUGAAAUCAAGUUCAGCAGAGAAUGAAGUUGUAUACAUUUGUCCAGAACUUAAUUACAUUUGAGAUAGAGUACACAAAGUUCAACAAGAUUGGACAUAGUACAUUAACGUUAGGUCAGUUUCAUAAUAAAUGAUUUAAAAGUGAUCGUUUAAAAAAAUAGAUUUAACUGGAGUGGGGGGGGGGGGUUGGGUUGAUGCUUCUGCUGCUGCCUGUGCAAAGGGUGGGGGGGAGGGAGGCUUCGAUGUUUCUAUCAUUCAUUCUAUGGGGUCGCUUUUCUCGUGGAUGUCUGUGAAGGGUACGAAUUUCAGGUUGUAUACUGUAUCUUUCUCUAAUAUUAAAUGAAACUUUUAACUCAUUACAUAAUCAUUGCUUUCUGCACGCUCUAAGUUCAUAUUUGAGCACUAAAAUAAUGCAAAGGAAAUCAGAUAGUUCUUUUUCUAUUUGGCAAGACAUACUUAAUGGGCCAAAUGACCUAAUUCUGCUUCUAUGUUUGAAGAUAGGAUGAGUGUCACACAGUCAUUGCUGGAAUAUUAAUUUCUUUUACCAGUUAGUAUAUAAAUAACUUGAUGAAAACACCAAAUGAAAUGGUUGAAGUUGCUGAUGAUACAAAGAUAAAACUGGAAAAAAAGGCCUACAGAAUUAUCUAAUGUUAAGUGACUGGGCAAAGAUCUGUCAAAUAGAGUAUGAUGUGGAAAUGUGGGGAAAAUGUGAGACAGUUCACAUCUGUGGGAAAAUAAAAUAAAAAGGUAUGAUUGAAAUGGCACAAGAUUGAACAGCUAAGAUGCAGUGGGAUUUGGUGAGUGCAUAAUCUGCAAAAAGAUAAUAGAUAAAUAAUCAAGAAGGUAAAAAUGUUAUUUUUUACUGGCAGGUUAUUGAAUACAAAUACAGGGAGAUGAUUCUUUAGUUACACAAGUUAACAGUGAGACCAUAUCUGGUAUAUUAUGGACAGUACUCAUCUCUUUACUAUGGGAAGGAUAUUAAUGCAUUGGAAGGCUGUUAACUCACAAGGAACAGUUCAGAGAAGUUUUCCUAGACCAAUACCUGGAAUGGGCAAGGACAUGUUGGACAGGUGUCAGGCUUGUAUCAUGUGAAAUUUGGAACAGAGAGGUUUCUACUGAAACUUGGGAUCCUGAGGGUUCUUGACAUUAGAUAUGGAAAUGUUUCCUCUCUCGCUGCAAAAUCUACAAUUGGAUGUUACCUGUUAAAAAUAAGGGGCACCUAUUUAAAACAGAAAGGAGGCAACAAUUCUUCAGUGCAGAGGUUAAAAGUUUUCAGAACGCUCUUCCUGGAAAGAGCAGUGGAAGUAAAUUCAUUGAAUGUUUUAAGGCACAGGAAGACAGCUCUCUAAUGAACUGCAGGGCUGAAGUUACUGUCAUGUCAGUAAUGAUUUUAACAAAAGUCAGUGCAGGCCUGAGUGAUUGAAUUUUUGCUCUGAAUUCAUACAUUUAAAUAGAACCACAUAAAUAGACAAGACAUAAUUUAGACACUGAGAAACUAGAAUUGUAUACCUGUUUUGACUCGCAUCAAUUAUGAAACAAGAAAAUGGUUUCUUUACCAGAAUAACAUAUUGAUGAGGGGUUCACCUGUAUUGAUCAUUGUGAUUCAAUAAUACAUCCCUGAAUUGUGAUAAACUUAAAUAUUUAAUUUCAUUCUUUGUACACAUGAUAACUGAAAUAAAAGUUUUAAAAGCC
Hypanus sabinus (Atlantic stingray) is the source of this 2626-nucleotide long non-coding RNA. RefSeq lists it as uncharacterized. Lineage: Eukaryota; Metazoa; Chordata; Chondrichthyes; Myliobatiformes; Dasyatidae. The transcript has 2 exons. The record is from RefSeq and is a predicted model, not a curated record.